This 482-nucleotide ribosomal RNA is filed under the name uncultured bacterium. RNAcentral's name for it is "partial 16S ribosomal RNA". It matches the Rfam family "Bacterial small subunit ribosomal RNA", at positions 30 to 507 of the family's 1533-position model. The record is from RNAcentral.
AUUGAACGCUGGCGGCAUGCUUUACACAUGCAAGUCGAACGGUAACAGGUCUUCGGAUGCUGACGAGUGGCGAACGGGUGAGUAAUACAUCGGGACGUGCCUAGUAGUGGGGGAUAACUACUCGAAAGAGUAGCUAAUACCGCAUGAGAUCUACGGAUGAAAGCAGGGGACCUUCGGGCCUUGUGCUACUAGAGCGGCUGAUGGCAGAUUAGGUAGUUGGUGGGGUAAAGGCUUACCAAGCCUGCGAUCUGUAGCUGGUCUGAGAGGACGACCAGCCACACUGGGACUGAGACACGGCCCAGACUCCUACGGGAGGCAGCAGUGGGGAAUUUUGGACAAUGGGCGAAAGCCUGAUCCAGCAAUGCCGCGUGCAGGAUGAAGGCCCUCGGGUUGUAAACUGCUUUUGUACGGAACGAAAAGCCUGGGGCUAAUAUCCCCGGGUCAUGACGGUACCGUAAGAAUAAGCACCGGCUAACUACGUG